Long non-coding RNA from Sinocyclocheilus grahami, 1056 nucleotides. RefSeq lists it as uncharacterized. Lineage: Eukaryota; Metazoa; Chordata; Actinopteri; Cypriniformes; Cyprinidae. The transcript is spliced from 3 exons. The record is from RefSeq and is a predicted model, not a curated record.
GCAGAAGUGAUUGUUCUAAAAAUGAAUACUGGAGCGACGGGCUCUGCUGUGACAAAUGUGCUCCAGGGUAUAAGUUUGUAAGAAAAUGCACUAGUGACUUGUCAUCUCAAUGUGAGAAAUGUGAGAGUGGGACAUACCUAGACAAGAUGAACUAUUUCCCAAACUGCUUCAGAUGCGAGAAAUGCACCAAGCCAAAUGCAGUGGUGAUUUCACCAUGUACACCCCAAAAUAACACCGUGUGUGGAUGUCAGUCUGGAUACCGCAAAAAGUUCUUUGAUAGCAUUACAUGGGAGUGUGUGCCCUGUAAACGCAAACCAAACGGCAGGAAAGCAUUAUUUUUUUCCCUCAGAAAUUAACGGAAGGUUAGCCUGAAGUAUGACCGAAGAACACAGCUCUGCCUCCAGCAUGAACAAAUACCUCAGACAAAAAUGUCAUAAUAUAUGGAAUCUACUUUCCCUUUAUUUUCAGCUGAAUUAAGAUGUAGCCUUAUAAAGCACAAUGUAUUAUAUUUGAUACAUGAGUUUCUAAAUGAUUAACAUGGUCAAAAGUUGGGUGAAAACCUGUUGUACACAAUCUACUACUGUGUUCCUCUUGACUGGUAGUUCAUGCUUUUUAUUAUUAAGUAAAAGGCCUUUUAGUAUAAUUAUAAAAGUAUCCACCUUCAGGUCAUGGUACAUGUAUCUAAUAACUUUUAUAAUGUUCGUAAAAUAUUUCAAGAUGAACAUUUACUGGACUGAAGAAACAACUAUUUGUAGGUUUAUCUAAUCAUUUUCUUUGGAGGAAAAAAAAAUCUUUUGGACCGGUUUCAUGUCAUGUGACUUUACCUCUGUCCUCCAGGAUCUAAUGUUAGAGUUGCUCCUAAAUGACUUUUUCCAUGAAACUAAAAGAACGAAUGGAAUGGAAGUCCCUUCCAGGUUCUUAUACAGUAUUAUAGUAGACAGUAUUAGUUUUUUUUCACUCUGUAAUCACACAUUUGUUUGUACAUAUCGCACUCAUUGUAUUGCAUUGCAUUAUAUAUUUUUUUAAAUAAAAAGUGACAACUGAUAUUUAUAUGCA